UACGUAGGUGGCAAGCGUUGUCCGGAAUUAUUGGGCGUAAAGCGCGUGUAGGCGGUUCUGUAAGUCUGCUGUGAAAGUCCAGGGCUCAACCCUGGGAUGCCGGUGGAUACUGCAGGGCUAGAGUACGGAAGAGGCGAGUGGAAUUCCCGGUGUAGCGGUGAAAUGCGCAGAUAUCGGGAGGAACACCUAUUGCGAAGGCAGCUCGCUGGGACGUUACUGACGCUGAGACGCGAAAGCGUGGGGAGCAAACAGG
Molecule: ribosomal RNA, 253 nt
Filed under: uncultured bacterium
Lineage: Bacteria
Description: partial 16S ribosomal RNA
Rfam family: Bacterial small subunit ribosomal RNA
Source: RNAcentral